UUUAUUGAGAGUUUGAUCUUGGCUCAGGACGAACGCUGGCGGCGUGCCUAACACAUGCAAGUUGAGCGAGGUUUCGAACCGAGCAGCAAACGGGUGAGUAACACGUAAGCAACCUACCUUUAAGACUGGUACAACCUGGAGAAAUCUGGGCUAAUUCCAGAUGUGACCCCGGUUUCAAAUGGAACUGGGAUUAAAUCCCGCAAGGGGCUUAAAGAUGGGCUUGCGUCCUAUCAGCUAGUUGGCGGGGUAAUGGCCCACCAAGGCAAUGACGGGUAGCUGGUCUGAGAGGACGAUCAGCCACAAGGGAACUGAGACACGGUCCCUACUCCUACGGGAGGCAGAAGUGAGGAAUUUUCCGCAAUGGGCGAAAGCCUGACGGAGCGACGCCGUGUGUGCGACGAAAUCCUUCGGGAUGUAAAGCACUGUCAGUGGGGAAGAUAUUGACGGUACCCACAGAGGAAGGCCCGGCUAACUACGUGCCAGCAGCCGCGGUAAUACGUAGGGGCCAAGCGUUGUCCGGAAUCAUUGGGCGUAAAGGGCGCGUAGGCGGUUUUGUAAGUCAGAUGUCAAAUCCACAGGCUCAACCUGUGAUCGCAUCUGAUACUGCAUUACUAGAGAAUGGUAGAGGAAAGCGGAACUUCCAGUGUAGCGGUGAAAUGCGUAGAUAUUGGAAGGAACACCAGUGGCGAAGGCGGCUUUCUGGGCAUUUUCUGACACUGAGGCACGAAAGCUAGGGGAGCAAACGGGAUUAGAUACCCCGGUAGUCCUAGCCGUAAACGAUGAACACUAGGCUUGCAAGGUACCCAAUCCUUACGAGUCGUAGCUAACGCGUUAAGUGUUCCGCCUGGGGAGUAUGCUCGCAAGAGUGAAACUCAAAGGAAU
Molecule: ribosomal RNA, 882 nt
Filed under: Candidatus Margulisiibacteriota bacterium
Lineage: Bacteria; Bacillati; Candidatus Margulisiibacteriota
Description: bacterial SSU rRNA
Rfam family: Bacterial small subunit ribosomal RNA
Source: RNAcentral